UAGGGAAUCUUCCGCAAUGGGCGAAAGCCUGACGGAGCAACGCCGCGCGAGUGAUGAAGGUCUUAGGAUCGUAAAACUCUGUUAUUAGGGAAGAACAAACGUGUAAGUAACUGUGCACGUCUUGACGGUACCUAAUCAGAAAGCCACGGCUAACUACGUGCCAGCAGCCGCGGUAAUACGUAGGUGGCAAGCGUUAUCCGGAAUUAUUGGGCGUAAAGCGCGCGUAGGCGGUUUUUUAAGUCUGAUGUGAAAGCCCACGGCUCAACCGUGGAGGGUCAUUGGAAACUGGAAAACUUGAGUGCAGAAGAGGAAAGUGGAAUUCCAUGUGUAGCGGUGAAAUGCGCAGAGAUAUGGAGGAACACCAGUGGCGAAGGCGACUUUCUGGUCUGUAACUGACGCUGAUGUGCGAAAGCGUGGGGAUCAAACA
Molecule: ribosomal RNA, 427 nt
Filed under: uncultured bacterium
Lineage: Bacteria
Description: partial 16S ribosomal RNA
Rfam family: Bacterial small subunit ribosomal RNA
Source: RNAcentral